UACGUAGGGGGCUAGCGUUGUCCGGAUUUAUUGGGCGUAAAGAGCGUGUAGGCGGCCAGGUAGGUCUGCUGUGAAAACUCGAGGCUUAACCUCGAGAUGUCGGCGGAAACCAUCUGGCUAGAGUCCGGAAGAGGAGAGUGGAAUUCCUGGUGUAGCGGUGAAAUGCGUAGAGAUGUGGAGGAACACCUGUGGCGAAGGCGGCCAUCUGGACAACUACUGACACUGAGACGCGAAAGCGUGGGUAGCAAACAGG
This 253-nucleotide ribosomal RNA is filed under the name uncultured bacterium. RNAcentral's name for it is "partial 16S ribosomal RNA". It matches the Rfam family "Bacterial small subunit ribosomal RNA", at positions 524 to 776 of the family's 1533-position model. The record is from RNAcentral.